UACGUAGGGUGCGAGCGUUGUCCGGAAUUAUUGGGCGUAAAGAGCUCGUAGGCGGCUUGUCGCGUCGACCGUGAAACCUCACAGCUCAACUGUGAGCCUGCGGUCGAUACGGGCAGGCUAGAGUUCGGUAGGGGAGACUGGAAUUCCUGGUGUAGCGGUGAAAUGCGCAGAUAUCAGGAGGAACACCGGUGGCGAAGGCGGGUCUCUGGGCCGUAACUGACGCUGAGGAGCGAAAGCAUGGGGAGCGAACAGG
Molecule: ribosomal RNA, 253 nt
Filed under: uncultured bacterium
Lineage: Bacteria
Description: partial 16S ribosomal RNA
Rfam family: Bacterial small subunit ribosomal RNA
Source: RNAcentral